UCACUUACCUGGACGGGGUCAACUCGCGAUCAAGAAGACGAGUGGCCUAGGCUAGUGACUCCCAUUGCACAUACCGGGAGGGUGCUACGCUUAAGGUCUUCCCUAGAGGAAGAGCCUACGUCAUUAUUUGUGGCAGCGGGGGUUUGCGUUCGCGCAGCCCCUAC
RNAcentral lists this small nuclear RNA (164 nucleotides) under Arabidopsis thaliana (thale cress). RNAcentral describes it as "U1 spliceosomal RNA". It matches the Rfam family "U1 spliceosomal RNA". From Rfam's summary of the family: U1 is a small nuclear RNA (snRNA) component of the spliceosome (involved in pre-mRNA splicing). Its 5' end forms complementary base pairs with the 5' splice junction, thus defining the 5' donor site of an intron. Lineage: Eukaryota; Viridiplantae; Streptophyta; Magnoliopsida; Brassicales; Brassicaceae. RNAcentral also lists the same sequence under 1 other name. The record is from RNAcentral.